Molecule: long non-coding RNA, 2772 nt
Organism: Quercus robur (English oak)
Lineage: Eukaryota; Viridiplantae; Streptophyta; Magnoliopsida; Fagales; Fagaceae
Exons: 5
Source: RefSeq, a predicted model, not a curated record
UCUUCUUUAUAUCCUAUCAAAAAAAAAAAAAACACUCUUCUUUAUAUAUCAAACACGCCUGUUUUACAGGUUCACCUCCCCUUCUGCCAAAGCCAACAACGACAACAACACCGAUCUCUUCACCUCCUUGAUCUCAGACAUCAAAUCCUACUCUGGCAACGACCCUCUUCUCGCAUGGCUCCAAUAUGUCUCUCUCUUUCUUUGUGGGUAGCUCUUUUAAUGGUUUUAAAAAGUAAGAUUGUUUGGCAUUUUGUAUAUACAGAGGGAUCAGAAAGAUGAAGGAUUCGCUGCCUUCGCAAGUACUGAACGAGAAGCUGCCACGGUUUUUGCAGAAGUGCGCGCAGACCUUCGAUUCCGAUCGCCGUUACAAAAACGACUUACGAUACCUCCGCGUUUGGUUACUGUUGAGAUGAGGUGGGUUCUUUUUAAAAUCCUUGAUAGCUCUUUCUCUCGCUGUCAAUGGCAGACAAGAAAUUAGGGUUCUUCACUAUAAAAGAAGAGGAUUAUGGAGGCAUAAAGAGAGGGGAGGCACGUACUACUACAGAAAGAAGGAGCACCAAAGAGUAAGACCUUUCUUUUAUUCUGCACUUUUAUUUAGUUGCUUUUCUGAAAUUUAAUAAUUUGUUAAGAUAAAGAGAGGCUGGAACCACUACCGGUGAGUUUUUAUCUUCAAUUUAAAUUUGUUUAUUAAUUGUGAUUAGGUUUUGAUAUUCACAACCAACCCAAUAUCAGAUCGCUGGAACUGCUACAAGUAAAAUCGUUUAUGUUAAUUUUGUGCGUUUAAUUGGAUUUAGGUUUUGCUAUUUUGGUUGGUUGGUUUUGAUUUAAGAAAUUGGUUUAGAUUUUGUAUAGUCAAAACCUAAUAUAGAUUCCUUUCAAUAUAUAACCCUCUAUAUAUUCCCAUCAGUGGUCAUAGAAGAGUGACCACUCUCUAACAAACUGAUUUUAUUUUGGUUUAUUUGGAAAUAUCUCAUGUCUCAUUCUUUUAAUGUGUUGUGGCUUAUAAGAGAAGAGCCAGUAAUGAGGAGAAGUUUGUUGAUUCUAUGUAGAAGAAAGCUAAGGAGGAAAAAGGUUGAAUUUGCAUCAAAGAGAUUCUUGGUAUUCUUUCGUGGACUUACAGAUUGAUUAAUUUUGAUAGCAACCAGAUUCCAAGAUCCUUCAAAGGCAAUGAUUUUUUAAGAUAUAAUAUUUGGUUCCGGUAAAUUAGCCUGUUUUCUAUUGAAACUAACAGAAUUUGUAUUGCUCUAUUUAUUUAUUUGGUUGGUUGAGAAAUUCUGUUGAUGGGUUUUGUUGGUGAGAAUUUCUACGCUGAAUCUAAAAUUUAAUACUAAAUAUUAAAUUUGAUGUUCACUUCUUACUUUUUUUUUUUCUUGUCCUAAUUUCGCUGUCUCAUUGACAGGCUUCAAGCGUAGGAAUGGUGCACACAAUCUUUCAUUAAUAACUAUGCAAGUUUGUAUUAAUUUCAUUUGAUUUUUUUAUUUUUUAUUAUUUUUAUGAUAGUUAGAUAUCUAUUUGCUUUAUUUCAGAUUACGUUUGAUAUCUAUUUGCUUAUGAAUGAUAUCAGAUCUGACCCUCACUUAAACAAAGCAUAAGGUAUCACAUUCACAAAACUUAACGUAAGGUAUCCUAUGCUUUCUUGCUUUCUGAGAAAAUUUCAUUUCCAUUCCAUGUGUUUGUCUCAGGUUUUUGUUUUGUGUGUCUUUGGGUUAAUAAGGCAACAAGACUAAAGUUUUUAAGGCUGUCUGAGACUGUCAACAACAUCACAUAAUGGUAGCUUAAAUUCUUCUUUCAUUGCUGAUUUUUUUCAUUUGCUUUGAUUUGUAAAUAAGGACUGUGUUUUUGGAGAAGUGAAUAAUGACUCUAAGUUCAUUACAUUUCAUACUGAUUGUACUGUCGAUUGCCUGAAUGGAAGUAUAUAAAUUUAUUGGUUGAAGAGCAAUUUCUUCAAAAUUGGUUGGCACCGAUAAGCAAGAGUUCAAUGCAGAUGUUGGUCAUUUUGGAGUAGGAAUUUGUCAUGAUAUAUGCUUCUCUAAAGUUGCUACAUUCCUGUCAAGGUAAGCAAAAUACUAAAAUUUUGAACUGUUGUAGAGAUUAUAAACAAAAGAGACAUGCCAAAUCUGCCUUCAAUUAAAACGUCAGGUUUUUAGGAGUUAUCUUGCAACUAUACAAAGUAUUUUCAACCUUUCAUUAUGUUAUCCCACUUGGAAGACCAUUUUUUAGUUAUUAUUACAUGCGUUUUGUGAAAUUUCAUUAGACAUGUGAUAUGUAAUAUUUAGUCUCGAUUCCCACUUUAUCUCAUCCUAUUAUAGAUUUGCAUCUCCUCUAUAGGACUCAAAUAUCACAUUGGAUUCUUGCUUAUCACAAGUGUAGACUAUGUUGGUAAGGUGUGGAUUUUGAGAUUAAGUUGCUCACAAUUGGUGGGAGAAGAUUGAAGCUUACAAUUUGGGACAUAGGCAACUGCUGGAAUUAUUUUGAAUUAUAGUUUCAUUUUAAUCUUUGAUUAAUGAUGCUUUUGGAAGUGAUAGUUUAUGCUAACAUGUAAUCUUUCUCUUCUUUCAAGUUAGUCAUUGCUUUUGGUGCAUAAAUAGAUUGUAGAGCUAUUAACAAUAGAUGAAAGAUAUGUAUAAAUGAUUUUUAGUUAGGUGAACUUUUGGAUUUUAAUAGAAACAUUUAACCUUCGGAUGUUGAAAAAACAAGAAGGUAAAAUGUUCUGUAAAUUUUAAUUUUGUGAAACUGAUCAAUGGCAAUUUGAAGUGUUAGAAGAGACAACAA